This 208-nucleotide ribosomal RNA is filed under the name uncultured delta proteobacterium. RNAcentral's name for it is "partial 16S ribosomal RNA". It matches the Rfam family "Bacterial small subunit ribosomal RNA", at positions 568 to 775 of the family's 1533-position model. Lineage: Bacteria; Deltaproteobacteria. The record is from RNAcentral.
CGUGUAGGCGGUCUGUUAAGUCUGAUGUGAAAGCCCCGGGCUCAACCCGGGAAGUGCAUUGGAUACUGGCAGACUUGAGUACGGGAGAGGGAAGUGGAAUUCCGAGUGUAGGGGUGAAAUCCGUAGAUAUUCGGAGGAACACCGGUGGCGAAGGCGGCUUCCUGGACCGAUACUGACGCUGAGACGCGAAAGCGUGGGGAGCAAACAG